Non-coding RNA from Gigaspora rosea, 69 nucleotides. NCBI's taxonomy places the organism in Eukaryota, Fungi, Glomeromycota, Glomeromycetes, Diversisporales, Gigasporaceae. The record is from the annotation of a GenBank genome assembly.
GCGACUUAGGUCAGUGGUCGAGUUGUCACCCCCCAAGCGACAGGUUGUAAGUUCGAAUCCCAUAUGGCA